GAUGAAGAACGCAGCGAAAUGCGAUAAGUAAUGCGAAUUGCAGAAUUCAGUGAAUCAUCGAAUCUUUGAACGCACCUUGCACCCUUUGGCAUUCCGAAGGGUAUGCUCGUUUGAGUGUCAUUGUACUCUCACACUUCUGAUCCUUUGGAUUGGGAGCGGUGGACUUGGGUGUUGCUGCUUUACUGUGGCUCACCUCAAAUGCAUUCGUGCAACUCUUGGUUGGACAUAGUACGGCGUGAUAAGUAUCUUCGCCGGCACCUCGCAAGAGGGUGGCUGAUCAGGAGCUCUGUGCUUUCCAACUGUCUUCAGACAACAACUGACAACUUGACCUCAAAUCGAGUAGGACCACCCGCUGAACUUAAGCAUAUCAAUAAGCGGAGGA
RNAcentral lists this unclassified non-coding RNA (382 nucleotides) under soil metagenome. RNAcentral's name for it is "partial contains 5.8S ribosomal RNA, internal transcribed spacer 2, and large subunit ribosomal RNA". The stretch from base 1 to 120 matches the Rfam family "5.8S ribosomal RNA", at positions 35 to 154 of the family's 154-position model. The record is from RNAcentral.